UGCCUGUGAUGAAAAGAUUCUGCCAAAUGACCUCUGAUUAUAACCCAUACCGUUCCAUUCUUUCUGAGGUG
RNAcentral lists this small nucleolar RNA (71 nucleotides) under Gouania willdenowi (blunt-snouted clingfish). RNAcentral describes it as "Small nucleolar RNA SNORD47 (ENSGWIG00000008606.1)". It matches the Rfam family "Small nucleolar RNA SNORD47". From Rfam's summary of the family: U47 belongs to the C/D class of snoRNA which contain the C (UGAUGA) and D (CUGA) box motifs. The record is from Rfam by way of RNAcentral. Lineage: Eukaryota; Metazoa; Chordata; Actinopteri; Blenniiformes; Gobiesocidae.